Molecule: ribosomal RNA, 443 nt
Filed under: uncultured bacterium
Lineage: Bacteria
Description: bacterial SSU rRNA
Rfam family: Bacterial small subunit ribosomal RNA
Source: RNAcentral
AAUAUUGCACAAUGGGCGUCAAGCCUGAUGCAGCCAUGCCGCGUGUAUGAAGAAGGCCUUCGGGUUGUAAAGUACUUUCAGCAGUGAGGAAGGCGGAGUCGUUAAUAGCGGCCUCGUUUGACGUUAGCUGCAGAAGAAGCACCGGCUAACUCCGUGCCAGCAGCCGCGGUAAUACGGAGGGUGCGAGCGUUAAUCGGAAUUACUGGGCGUAAAGCGUCAUGCAGGUGGUUUGUUAAGUCAGAUGUGAAAGCCCGGGGCUCAACCUCGGAAUUGCAUUUGAAACUGGCAGGCUAGAGUCUUGUAGAGGGGGUAGAAUUUCAGGUGUAGCGGUGAAAAUGCGUAGAGAUCUGAAGGAAUACCAGUGGCGAAGGCGGCCCCCUGGACAAAGACUGACGCUCAGAUGCGAAAGCGUGGGGAGCAAACAGGAUUAGAUACCCUGGUAG